CAAUAGCGUAUAUUUAAGUUGCUGCAGUUAAAAAGCUCGUAGUUGGAUUUCGGGUGGGAAUGGCCGGUCCGCCGUUUCGGUGUGCACUUGCUACGCCCACCUUGCUGCCGGGGACGUGCUCUUGAGUUCACGCUCGGGACACGGAGUCGGCGAGGUUACUUUGAGUAAAUUAGAGUGUUCAAAGCAGGCCUACGCUCUGAAUACAUUAUCAUGGAAUAACACGAUAGGACUCUGGCCUAUCUUGUUGGUCUGUAGGACCGGAGUAAUGAUUAAGAGGGACAGUCGGGGGCAUUCGUAUUUCAUUGUCAGAGGUGAAAUUCUUGGAUUUAUGAAAGACGAACUACUGCGAAAGCAUUUGCCAAGGAUGUUUUCAUUAA
RNAcentral lists this ribosomal RNA (377 nucleotides) under uncultured eukaryote. Its description in RNAcentral is "partial 18S ribosomal RNA". It matches the Rfam family "Eukaryotic small subunit ribosomal RNA", at positions 592 to 976 of the family's 1831-position model. The record is from RNAcentral.